CGCCAAGGUGGAGACAGCGGCACGCAUCUGCCAGCUGUGAGGAAGGCGGGGGAGAUUCUUUCUCUCACCGUGAUGAGUGCUGUGGUAGCAAUCUGGGGUCUAGAAUUUUUAAAACGUGAACGGAAACUCUUAUGACAACCAAAAUGGCAAUUUGGUAGGGCGAAGGACUGAGAUUCAGCUUUCUCUUAUCUGCCAAAACUGGGAACAAUGUGCAUUCGAUAUAAAUGUAUAAUCUAAGAUAAGCUUGGAAAUGGAGAAGAAUUUGAAGCAUGCUAUAGGCAGUCUAAGCCUUUUUGAAAUCAAAUUUGAAAUAGAUUUUUGCCAGGCAAUCCUUCUAAUUACUGUAGUAUUUCUUGGUAUCAGAAGACUCAGGCAGGGGACAGGGCACAGGAGAGAGAAAUUCAAACUAAUUUGCAUUAGAAAGAAACUUAGGGUGGAGAAUUUCUAGGUAAGGUUGCUAUGGCUGAUAUCUUAAGUGCACUCCUGGAAAGCAUUCUAGUCUGUUAAGUAACACCCGAAGCCCCAAUUCUGUUACGCGGCGUUUCUUUUUUUCUCUCUCUCUAACUACUCUGAAACUAUACAGAGUUACACGUUCCUCAUUAAUUUAUGAGCGAUACCAAAGGAAUUGACUCAAUCCAACAAGUAUUUGAGCGCCUUCCCUGGAUGAGGCGCUCUGCUAAGAGCUGCAGAAGAAUGGAAGAUGGAGGAAUUUUCCAGUUAAAACAACAACAGCAGCAUCUACAGUGGACUGACUUGUAAGGUAGGAUUCAUGGUGCCCAGGUAUAAGACCUCGCUUUAGAACAGGGACAGUGCAUCAGUCACAGGGGCUGAGGAGCCAGCUCUCUCUUCUCCAGUGCUCAGCCCACUGUCAAGGUUUCACUGAACUGCACUAGAUCUCCCAUCUGGGGACCCUGUCCCCUGCCCCUUGUGCUGCACGUUGGAUCUGGAAGAAGGAGAAAAACAGUGUAUGUGUGACUGUCCAAUCAAUAAAAGAGAAACGGACGUGAGUUGACAAAAGAUGGAAAAGCAUUAAGGAAGAACCGUAGAACAAGGGUAAGGAGGCCCAUGGAUUGCAAGGAGCUACACUUUCUUCCUUUUCUCUCUGCUAUUGGUCUUAUAGCUACUACAAGUUUAUUCUCAAGCUUUCUAAAACUUAG
Diceros bicornis minor is the source of this 1157-nucleotide long non-coding RNA. RefSeq lists it as uncharacterized. The record is from RefSeq and is a predicted model, not a curated record. Lineage: Eukaryota; Metazoa; Chordata; Mammalia; Perissodactyla; Rhinocerotidae. The transcript has 4 exons.